UGGAGGGCAAGUCUGGUGCCAGCAGCCGCGGUAAUUCCAGCUCCAAUAGCGUAUAUUAAAGUUGCUGCAGUUAAAAAGCUCGUAGUUGAAUUUCGGGACCAUCAUGUCGGUCGUGCCUCGGUACGUACUGGUAUUGUUGGUUUCUCCCUUCUGACGAACCAUGAUGUCAUUUAUUUGGUGUUGUGGGGAAUCAGGACUGUUACUUUGAAAAAAUUAGAGUGUUUAAAGCAGGCUCACGCUUGAAUACAUUAGCAUGGAAUAAUGAAAUAGGACGUUUGAUUCUAUUUUGUUGGUUUCUAGGAUCGACGUAAUGAUUAAUAGGGAUAGUUGGGGGCAUUAGUAUUCAAUUGUCAGAGGUGAAAUUCUUGGAUUUAUUGAAGACUAACUACUGCGAAAGCAUUUGCCAAGGAUGUUUUCAUUAAUCAAGAACGAAAGUUAGGGGAUCGAAGACGAUCAGAUACCGUCGUAGUCUUAACCAUAAACUAUGCCGACUAGGGAUCGGAUGAUGUUAAUUUUUUAAUGACUCAUUCGGCGCCUUACGAGAAAC
This 547-nucleotide ribosomal RNA is filed under the name uncultured Glomeromycotina. RNAcentral describes it as "SSU rRNA". It matches the Rfam family "Eukaryotic small subunit ribosomal RNA", at positions 549 to 1098 of the family's 1831-position model. Lineage: Eukaryota; Fungi; Glomeromycota. The record is from RNAcentral.